RNAcentral lists this ribosomal RNA (425 nucleotides) under uncultured bacterium. Its description in RNAcentral is "partial 16S ribosomal RNA". It matches the Rfam family "Bacterial small subunit ribosomal RNA", at positions 354 to 796 of the family's 1533-position model. The record is from RNAcentral.
GUGGGGAAUCUUGCGCAAUGGGCGAAAGCCUGACGCAGCCAUGCCGCGUGAAUGAUGAAGGUCUUAGGAUUGUAAAAUUCUUUCACCGGGGACGAUAAUGACGGUACCCGGAGAAGAAGCUCCGGCUAACUUCGUGCCAGCAGCCGCGGUAAUACGAAGGGGGCUAGCGUUGCUCGGAAUUACUGGGCGUAAAGGGCGCGUAGGCGGACAGUUUAGUCAGAGGUGAAAGCCAAGGGCUCAACCUUGGAAUUGACUUUGAUACUGGCUGGCUUGAGUUUGGGAGAGGUGAGUGGAACUCCGAGUGUAGAGGUGAAAUUCGUAGAUAUUCGGAAGAAGACCAGUGGCGAAGGCGACUCACUGGCCCAAUACUGACGCUGAGGCGCGAAAGCGUGGGGAGCAAACAGGAUUAGAAACCCGGGUAGUCC